RNAcentral lists this ribosomal RNA (201 nucleotides) under uncultured microorganism. RNAcentral's name for it is "partial 16S ribosomal RNA". It matches the Rfam family "Bacterial small subunit ribosomal RNA", at positions 9 to 216 of the family's 1533-position model. The record is from RNAcentral.
GAGUUUGAUCCUGGCUCAGAUUGAACGCUGGCGGCAGGCCUAACACAUGCAAGUCGAACGGUAACAGGAAACAGCUUGCUGUUUCGCUGACGAGUGGCGGACGGGUGAGUAAUGUCUGGGAAACUGCCUGAUGGAGGGGAUAACUACUGGAACGGUAGCUAAUACCGCAUAACGUCGCAAGACCAAAGAGGGGGACCGUUC